UUUCGAUGAAAAUGGUGAUGAUUUCGACGAUUAUGGUGAUGAAAAUGUCUGUUUAUGCGACGGAAAUUUUGAAGCCUUUGGUACAUUACAGUCUGAUACAUACACUUUCAAUACCAUAAUCGUUGAAAUCAUCACCAUUUUAU
This 143-nucleotide microRNA precursor is filed under the name Megaselia scalaris. RNAcentral describes it as "microRNA mir-598". The record is from RNAcentral. Lineage: Eukaryota; Metazoa; Arthropoda; Insecta; Diptera; Phoridae.